AAUGAACGCUGGCGGCGUGCCUAAUACAUGCAAGUCGAGCGAAAGGACGAUAAGCUUGCGUCCCUGCUGUUAGCGGCGGACGGGUGAGUAACACGUGGAUCACCUACUUCUAUUUCGUGGAUAACUUCGGGAAACCGGAUCUACUACCACAGAAUAUUUUCAACCGCAUGGUUCAAAAGUGCAUCACGGUCUUGCUGUCUCGUAUAGCUGGUUCCGCGCUGGAUUAUCUGGUUGGUAAGGUACCGGCUUACCAAGGCUACGAUGCGUAGCCGAGCUGAGAGGGUGAUCGGCCACACUGGAACUGAGACACGGUCCAGACUCCUACGGGAGGCAGCAGUGGGGAAUCUUGGGCAAUGGGCGAAAGCCUGACGGAGCAACGCCGCGUGAGUGAAGAAGGCCUUCGGAUCGUAAAGCCCUGUUAUUGGGGAAGAACAGAUGUGGGAGUAGACGUGGCGGUCUUGACGGUACCUAAUGAGAAAGCAACGGCUAACUACGUG
RNAcentral lists this ribosomal RNA (497 nucleotides) under uncultured bacterium. RNAcentral describes it as "partial 16S ribosomal RNA". It matches the Rfam family "Bacterial small subunit ribosomal RNA", at positions 29 to 507 of the family's 1533-position model. The record is from RNAcentral.